UUGCUUUUGUAGCUUAAGUGUGAUGACUGAGUUUGCAUGUGCAUGUGUGAGAUGUGCCAACCUCGAACCUUAUUACAGCAUGAGCACAUUACCCAUCUGACA
Small nucleolar RNA from Pongo abelii (Sumatran orangutan), 102 nucleotides. The record is from Ensembl. NCBI's taxonomy places the organism in Eukaryota, Metazoa, Chordata, Mammalia, Primates, Hominidae.